This 301-nucleotide ribosomal RNA is filed under the name uncultured bacterium. RNAcentral's name for it is "partial 16S ribosomal RNA". It matches the Rfam family "Bacterial small subunit ribosomal RNA", at positions 509 to 807 of the family's 1533-position model. The record is from RNAcentral.
CAGUAGCCGCGGUAAUACGUAGGGUGCGAGCGUUAAUCGGAAUUACUGGGCGUAAAGCGCACGUAGGCGGACUUUUAAGUCAGGGGUGAAAUCCCGGGGCUCAACCCCGGAACUGCCUUUGAUACUGGAAGUCUUGAGUAUGGUAGAGGUGAGUGGAAUCCCGAGUGCAGAGGUGAAAUUCGUAGAUAUUCGGAGGAACACCAGUGGCGAAGGCGGCUCACUGGACCAUUACUGACGCUGAGGUGCGAAAGCGUGGGGAGCAAACAGGAUUAGAGACCCCCGUAGUCCCUGUCUCUUAUAC